UGAGUGAUCUCUUUUUCAUGUAUAAGGGGAAUCAGAAAGAGAUCUAAGAGUCUUGGAACUUAUGGGAUUACCCAGGAAAGAUCUCAGGUUGUACAAUAAAGAAAAAAAAAAAGCAAAAAAUAAAUAAAUAAAAAAUAAAACAAACAAAAAAAUUAAAAAGUGAAAGGAGGAGAAACCCAAGGGAGGCUUACUAUACGUAAAGGAUGGUAAGAGGGAAUAUGAAG
Molecule: long non-coding RNA, 224 nt
Filed under: Vigna radiata
Lineage: Eukaryota; Viridiplantae; Streptophyta; Magnoliopsida; Fabales; Fabaceae
Description: long non-coding RNA (VRAD_LNC010067)
Source: RNAcentral